GCGACCUCCGCUCAGGCCGGGCC
RNAcentral lists this ribosomal RNA (23 nucleotides) under Paloue riparia. Its description in RNAcentral is "partial 26S ribosomal RNA". Lineage: Eukaryota; Viridiplantae; Streptophyta; Magnoliopsida; Fabales; Fabaceae. The record is from RNAcentral.